Molecule: ribosomal RNA, 216 nt
Filed under: Glomeromycotina sp.
Lineage: Eukaryota; Fungi; Glomeromycota
Description: partial small subunit ribosomal RNA
Rfam family: Eukaryotic small subunit ribosomal RNA (bases 40-216)
Source: RNAcentral
GGGUCAGUAGGUUGGUCGUGCCACCGGUGCGUACCGGUCUCACUGAUUCCUCCUUCCUGAAGAACCGUAAUGCCAUUAAUUUGGUGUUGCGGGGAAACAGGACUGUUACUUUGAAAAAAUUAGAGUGUUUAAAGCAAGCUAACGCUUGAAUACAUUAGCAUGGAAUAAUGAAAUAGGACGAUCGAUCCUAUUUUGUUGGUUUCUAGGAUUGACGUA